UCUCUCAUGUCGUUUCUUACUUGUUCUCUCUCUCUCUCUUUCCUCUCUCCUACCCUAUAUCUUCUUCAACCUUUAACCAGAAACCCAGUUAAGUGAAGAAAAGAAGUCCCUCCAAAUCAUAUACUUCGUUUGCUUGAGAAUCUAGCUUGAACAUAGGCGUGAUGCAUGGCACAAUUUGUAGAUGCGAGUAAGAGGCUAUGUUGAAAACUAUAAGGAUUGAGAAUAAUCCGGGUCAGAGGUUCUUGGGUUGCAGCAAUUAUAGGAAUGAAUGGAUCCAGCUGUCCAUCCUCGUUCUACACAUGUGAUAGUGGAGUUACUAAGGAAGCUGGAUAGGGUGGAGAAAGAGAACUUGAAGGCAAAGAGGAAGACUAAAUUGAAGGUGUUAUGUGUUAGGUUUUAUGGUCUUGUUGGGGUAGUUUAGAGUUAGUUUGUUAUUUUGGCAAGAAAUUGCUUUGUUAAAUUGUCAGGUCGCAAUAGUCACAGUUAUGGUAUUUUAAUGGAACUUUUUUUAUGUACUUUCCUUUAAUCCACGUAUGACUAAGAUGGAACCUGCUAUGCAA
This is a long non-coding RNA of Jatropha curcas, 560 nucleotides long. RefSeq lists it as uncharacterized. NCBI's taxonomy places the organism in Eukaryota, Viridiplantae, Streptophyta, Magnoliopsida, Malpighiales, Euphorbiaceae. The record is from RefSeq and is a predicted model, not a curated record.